This 41-nucleotide non-coding RNA is filed under the name Schistosoma mansoni. The record is from RNAcentral. Lineage: Eukaryota; Metazoa; Platyhelminthes; Trematoda; Strigeidida; Schistosomatidae.
CCAGCUGACGAGUCCCAAAUAGGACGAAAUGCGCGUCCUGG